Molecule: long non-coding RNA, 844 nt
Filed under: Anser brachyrhynchus (Pink-footed goose)
Lineage: Eukaryota; Metazoa; Chordata; Aves; Anseriformes; Anatidae
Description: lncRNA (ENSABRG00000019605.1)
Source: RNAcentral
AAUAAAUAAAACAGGGUAGAAAGAUGACUUAAUGGUUACAGGACAACUCAGGAGACAGUAAGCCAACCCUUGCUCCUUCCACUGAAACAUAAAUAGGAAUAGUUCCUAUCCCUCCGUUGAUCUGUAAUGUAAUGGGAGUCGAGUUAGUCUCUCAUUACGCUUUUGGACAGCGUCUAGGAGAGUGAAACCUCAGUCAUGGCAAAACACUUCUGGAAUCCAAGCGAAGACGAUGUCAUGGAAACUUGGAUCUGGAUGAUCCAAAACAUUCCACCAGCCUUGCAGUGGAAGGCCGUGGAGAUACUGCAUGACACAACCAAAUUCUUCAUGGAUGCUUCAACUGGAGACUCAUGAAACCACAAGUCUCCAAUUUCAUGUGUCCAACUUUGCCCAACGUGCUGCAUGACUGAGCAGAGGCCUGAAUUGCAUGCAGAGAACAAUAGAGGUUUCCUGGAUAUCUCUUCUGGGUCUGUGUCUCAUCUUGCCCAGCUCUGUGCCACCACGCAGGAGAUGCAGUUGCACCCAUGUGCCCCUGCACAGGGACAUGAGGACUGAGGGGAAUUGCUUCAUCCACCCCUCCUACUGAGUCCUCCGGCUGUGAGAGGCCUGGACCUACUCUGCCUUCCAGGAAAGAGAGAGGGGGAAACCAUUUCAGUGUAUCCUGCUUGGUGGAAAUUUAAUGUGUUCAAAGAAGCCUGCAGGAACGGUGAUCUGGAGUGGCCUGUUAGGAUGCGGUUGGAGGACAGAAUUAGACCUAUACCCGUCUCACAGCAGCUGCCUGACAGAGAGGGGCAAGGGUUAGCCCAGGACUCCAAAAUAUUAUUUGGCACUUGGUGAAUGUGAGAUA